GACGUAGGGCGCGAGCGUUGUCCGGAUUUAUUGGGCGUAAAGAGCUCGUAGGCGGCUUGUCGCGUCGUCCGUGAAAACCUGCAGCUCAACUGCGGGCUUGCGGUCGAUACGGGCAGGCUGGAGUUCGGUAGGGGAGACUGGAAUUCCUGGUGUAGCGGUGAAAUGCGCAGAUAUCAGGAGGAACACCGGUGGCGAAGGCGGGUCUCUGGGCCGAUACUGACGCUGAGGAGCGAAAGCGUGGGGAGCGAACAGG
RNAcentral lists this ribosomal RNA (253 nucleotides) under uncultured bacterium. Its description in RNAcentral is "partial 16S ribosomal RNA". It matches the Rfam family "Bacterial small subunit ribosomal RNA", at positions 524 to 776 of the family's 1533-position model. The record is from RNAcentral.